Long non-coding RNA from Dreissena polymorpha, 584 nucleotides. RefSeq lists it as uncharacterized. The transcript is spliced from 4 exons. NCBI's taxonomy places the organism in Eukaryota, Metazoa, Mollusca, Bivalvia, Myida, Dreissenidae. The record is from RefSeq and is a predicted model, not a curated record.
GUAACACUACGUUACCUGGCAAAAGGAUAUUUUUUUAGCGAGGUUGGAGAUCUCCAUGGAGUCAGCAGGAGCUCUGUGUGCCGGUGUAUUCAACAGGUUAUAAGUGCCAUUAACCGAAACCUGAACAACAUCACCUUCCCAACAUCUUUGCAUGACCUUGCUGCAACAAAACAGAAGUUCCAUCGUGUAGCAGGAAUCCCGAAUGUUAUAGGCGCUGUGGAUGGAACACUGAUCCCAAAUCAAGCUCCAUCUGAAAAUCCUCAGACGUAUGUGUGCCGAAAAGGAUACCAUGCUGUAAACAUUCAUGCUGUUGUGGAUAGCAGCUUAAGGUUUACCAAUGUCAAUGCAAAGUGGCCUGGUUCAACACACGAUGCCACAGUAUUUGAUAACUCUUCACUGAAGGACCAACUUGCUACCAACAAGCCAGGAUGGCUAUUGGGAGAUUCUGGUUCUCCAUUGAGAGAAUACCUGAUAACACCCAAGAACAACCCACAAACAGCACAAGAAUUGCGAUUCAACGGGGCUCACAGCCGAACUCGAAUUUGUGUUGAAAGAGCAUUUGGACUUUUGAAGGCUAGAUUUAG